RNAcentral lists this ribosomal RNA (433 nucleotides) under uncultured bacterium. RNAcentral describes it as "partial 16S ribosomal RNA". It matches the Rfam family "Bacterial small subunit ribosomal RNA", at positions 29 to 507 of the family's 1533-position model. The record is from RNAcentral.
AACGAACGCUGGCGGCAUGCCUAACACAUGCAAGUCGAACGAGACCUUCGGGUCUAGUGGCGCACGGGUGCGUAACGCGUGGGAACCUGCCCUUAGGUUCGGAAUAACUCCCCGAAAGGGGUGCUAAUACCGGAUAAUGUCUUCGGACCAAAGAUUUAUCGCCUUUGGAUGGGCCCGCGUUUGAUUAGCUAGUUGGUAGGGGAAAAGCCUACCAAGGCGACGAUCCAUAGCUGGUCUGAGAGGAUGAUCAGCCACACUGGGACUGAGACACGGCCCAGACUCCUACGGGAGGGAGGAGUGGGGAAUAUUGGACAAUGGGGGAAAGCCUGAUCCAGCAAUGCCGGGUGAGUGGUGAAGGCCUUAGGGUUGUAAAGCUCUUUUACCCGGGAUGAUAAUGACAGUACCGGGAGAAUAAGCUCCGGCUAACUCCGUG